Molecule: long non-coding RNA, 203 nt
Organism: Hydra vulgaris (swiftwater hydra)
Lineage: Eukaryota; Metazoa; Cnidaria; Hydrozoa; Anthoathecata; Hydridae
Source: RefSeq, a predicted model, not a curated record
UUUAGAUUAUAAUAGCUUUGAAACAAUGAUAAUAAAAGUUUUUUCAUCGUUCUAAAUUUAUGCUACAGUUAUGGUCGUAAAAGAUUAAGAAAAAUCUUAUGGGUGCAAUUAUUCCACUGACACCUGCGAAAUUACCAAAAGAACUGACCAUCGCUGUUUAUUGUAUUUUUUUAAAUGUUCUAGUUAAACAAUCUAACACUUAA